This 71-nucleotide microRNA precursor is filed under the name Ictidomys tridecemlineatus (thirteen-lined ground squirrel). RNAcentral's name for it is "miRNA (ENSSTOG00000030438.1)". Lineage: Eukaryota; Metazoa; Chordata; Mammalia; Rodentia; Sciuridae. The record is from RNAcentral.
UAAUCAGAAGAGCCAGGCACAGUGGGGCAUACCUGUAAUCCCAGCCACUUGGGAGGCUGAGGCAGGAGGAU